This is a long non-coding RNA of Mustela erminea (ermine), 127 nucleotides long. RefSeq lists it as uncharacterized. The record is from RefSeq and is a predicted model, not a curated record. NCBI's taxonomy places the organism in Eukaryota, Metazoa, Chordata, Mammalia, Carnivora, Mustelidae. The transcript has 3 exons.
AACAAUAAUGUAUUAUUUAAAAUUUGCAUUUGUUGGAGUGCCUGGUUGGUUUAGUGGGUUCAGCGUCUGUCUUCGGCUCAGGUCAUGAUCCCAGGGUCCUGAGAUCGAGUCCGACAUCUGGCUUCCU